CACUAGGAGCGACGCGACGCAUCCGGAAAACAAUUUGGCAAUAAAUGCCCAAUAAUAAAUCUGCUCGUUCCCUAAUUAAAUACCGCGAUGAAGCUGUGUCGGAGCUUGCGGGGAUAUCGACCCGUUAUUGACAUCGACAUGAGAAAUCUUGACCAAGUGUGAGCCGCAUCCUAUAAACACGAUGACAGAUGGGGCUGAGCAGGCCUGCUGACGCCAGACAGUUCCCGAGAAACAAUGGCAUGGAUGUGAACAGGGACAACCUUGACUGUAUCGCUCUAUAAGGAAGAAGCAAAAAGAAAAGCAUUUUACUGGCCUUCACUAUUAGAUAUGUGGACCAUCUAUCUCGGCUCUAAAGUCCCAUGUCAUGGGCGUCCCAGGUGAGCGUCGAUGAAAGCUUUGUGUAUUUUCUUCUACAAACAUAUUGAUACAUCUGAUGCCAAUGAAUGAUUUCCGAAUAAUGGACUUGUAGAGCGAGUGGGUUGGUGCUGAACACCUGAAGAAUUACAACUGUUGAAAGCUUUGUGUUAAAAAGUCAAGAGGCUAGAGAGUAUCGCCUGUGGCCAGUCUGCUUAAAUCAUGGACUGACAGGAAUCUCUGCUGCCCAAGGAAAUAAACCAGAAAUUCCAUCUGUGAUUCAUUUAUUGAAUCAUUUACAGUCAAGAGCUUUCUCUGAUGAAUAGAAAUUAAGUUGUAAAAAGUGCCUGAGUGCUCUUGUGUGUAUGUAUGUGGUGUAUGUAUAAAAUCUCUUUACCAAGACUUGGCAUGCACAAUUUAGAUGGUCAACUGAGUAUUUGCAUCAAAAAACACUUUGAUUCCACGAGCAAUGAAACCUCAGAAGUCAUCUGGUCCCAUCUGCAUCUGGAUAUUCGGUGCACUCAUGGUGGUAAUGACAAAAACAAGCCAAGAGCUCUUCAUGCAGGUCCACCACUCUCUGCUGCCCACUCACGAUCCACUCUCACCCUGCAUCAAAGUGUGAGCUCAUUUCACUGAGCAGACGGAAUCUGCAUCCUGCCGUACAAUGUGCUCAUUGCUGUUCUUUCAGCGGUCAGCUGAGUUGUGAACAAUUAUCCGGUCCUCUAGAGAAUCAUUAAAGGCAUCAGUGUCUUAGAUGAAUAUGAUUAUCCUCCAUCAAACCAUGCCACUCAGUUCUCAUUCAAGUGAAUAUCUAACUGUUAGUUGUUCUCCAGAAGCCUCCAGUAACACAGAGGUUGAUGGAAAAUCCAUGUCUUUGACCUCAAGCCAGAAAAAAAGACUAACAAAUUAUUCUUAAGAUUUGUCUUAAGUACUGUUAAAUAUGUUGUUUCUGCCAGUGUGGUCGCUGUUCUGCUUUUUUUAUCAAUUUAAAAUUUGUUAGGUUUCUGUGACAGGCUGCUGAUGAAAUCGUGGACAGGCCAGAAAAUAAAUUUUACUUAAACAUGACAGAGGACUGAAUCACUGACAUAAAUCAAGUGUCUAUGGCUCACCAUCGCUUACACGGCGUGAUGUGGAACAGUCUGUGUUGAUGAUCACGAGGUUGCUGCUGAGUAACUUGUAUUUUACAGUGAGUGUGCGCAGUUUUUACUGGAACUUGUUUGACUCAUUUAAUUGUGUACUGUGUUUUUAUAUAGACGCGCGACUGACAGAUUUCAGUAAGGUCAGACUGGUAGCAGUGCUGUUUUCAGUGGUGCUAAUGUGCUCAGUUCAGCAUCAAGCGAAGUCAGGGAUUCCUUCAACACAGCUUUAAUCUGGACUUUCAUUGGAGCGCUAACCAUCAAGGAGGCUCAAAGCAUGAACAAGGCGUCUAAAUUUAAGUCUGGUGAUUUUCUACUUGGAGAAGAGAUCAUUGUGGUUGUUUCCCGAUGAACAAGAUCUUGGAUGCAAACAGAGUUUUUGCAGUUGGCUGUGCCUUUAGACAAGGACCUCAGUCUUCUGAGGAGACGUCCUAGACUGGUAGAAGGCCCCAGGACAUGCAGCGCAGCAGAGAUGUGUGAACUCCUUGGAGCCAGAGGAGGCGUGUUUGAAGAGUGAGGUCUGGACCUUGUGACUUAAAGAUGAACGGAUGUUUGAGGAUGUUGAAAUAAACCAUCCUCUCUUUUAAACAACUAUUUCAGUUUUCAUGUGGAGUAGUGUCAUCACACUAAUCUGUUCUCCCUAAAUUCACAUUUUAACGAUUUUUUUAACCACUAAAUACAUGUCUUGUCCUGUUUAUCAACAACUGGCAUACGUCUUUGAAAGUCAACCCAGAAGGUUAAAGGGGGAAACGAUAUGAGGAUGAUGAGACUGACUGCAAAGAUCCCUCAGCUCUUGUGUGGCUUCAGAAUGUCGUCACAUGAAGAGCUCCUGCGGGGAUAUACGACGCGCUGGUGGAAGUUGUGUGCAACGAGCCUAACCACUAGGGGCAGCAUGUGACUACGCGUGUUCGCCAGAACAUCAGCUGCAACACUUAUCAAUAACCAGGUGGUGGCACUAGAAGACAAGUGAAGCAAAACCCAAACGCGGACUGAUUCACGUAUUCACGUUUGAGCGAUAAUGUUCGAUUAUAGUCAAUGUUUUUUAUUCUAAACUCAUGUAGCAAUAUUGCGUGGAGUGCCUAUUUUUUUUUUUUUAUUUGUUCACAAAAAAGAAGGUCCAUUCAAAUGAAAUUAAAGCUAUAAAAUCGC
This is a long non-coding RNA of Synchiropus splendidus (mandarinfish), 2639 nucleotides long. RefSeq lists it as uncharacterized. NCBI's taxonomy places the organism in Eukaryota, Metazoa, Chordata, Actinopteri, Syngnathiformes, Callionymidae. The record is from RefSeq and is a predicted model, not a curated record. The transcript is spliced from 3 exons.